UAACAUGACAAGCAACCAAAAAGCCAUUAAAUUAUAUGCCCUUAAGGGCUCAAGCCCAUCAUUAAAUGUUGUCGUACUGAUACACUGCGAGCUCUUGUUAACCACGCCGACUUGAUAAAACCCAAAAAUUAAAAGUAAUAAAUAUCGGAAACAGACUUGUACAGUAAAAACACAAGCCUGCUGACUUGUUGGAUGGUAGAUCAAUGAAUAAACCCAAGC
This 219-nucleotide long non-coding RNA is filed under the name Nicotiana benthamiana. RNAcentral describes it as "long non-coding RNA (NBEN_LNC000592)". Lineage: Eukaryota; Viridiplantae; Streptophyta; Magnoliopsida; Solanales; Solanaceae. The record is from RNAcentral.